UUUUUUUUAAAUUUUCGGCCCAACCCACAAGAUAGAAGGGCUUGAGCCCACAACUAAUCCUAGCCCUAAUCUAACACACAUAAACACAAGACACACACACACACAAGCAUCAGCACCUCACUCUCCCUCUCUGCCUCUCGGCUCUCUCGCCCCUCUCGCUUCUCUGCUCGGUCGAGUGCGGCGCCGCCUCCGGCGCGCCGCCUCGCCAGACGCCUCCCUCCUCUCUCUCUCCCCUGUUUCCUUCAUCCGUCCCUCUCUCUCUGUUAUUUCUCCCUCGCCGGUACUCGAUGCAUGCGCCGCCUUGAAGACCACAGCCGCCGCCUCGCCGUGAAGGAGCUCGGCCGCCGUCCGUCUGGUCUUUCUCCUUCGGCUUCUGCUCGGAAAAGGGCGCGGGGUAGCCUCCUCUCCAUCCCCUCGUCUGGAACAGGGCAUCUACCCUCUCCGCCAUAGGGAGCGCACGGCCGCCGCCUGGCCGCCUCCUCCGUCGUCCGUCGUGGCUGAAAUCGCGGUGGAGGCCGAUCUUUGUCUCGCCGGAAAGAAAAAGGAAAAGGGCGGCGGCUGCCGCCUCGCUGUCGCCGUCGACGGCGUCGACCCUGAGCAGCCUCCAGGCUGCUCCCCACUUUUCCCCUGUUCUCUCAACACAAACGAAGACAUGGAGCACAACCCCCAAAUUCCCAAAUCCAAAAUCAUAUAUUAGAAAAAUUAGGGUUUUCCAUUUCUGUUCUUUUUCUUAUCAAAAUCAUAUAUAAAAUUUCUAUUGGAACUGUAAUACUUGCCGAAAUAAAAUGAGUGUGUGUGCUAUGGCUC
Molecule: long non-coding RNA, 807 nt
Organism: Salvia miltiorrhiza (redroot sage)
Lineage: Eukaryota; Viridiplantae; Streptophyta; Magnoliopsida; Lamiales; Lamiaceae
Exons: 2
Source: RefSeq, a predicted model, not a curated record